UAAUACAGAGACUGCAAGCGUUAUUCGGAUUCACUGGGCGUAAAGGGUGCGCAGGCGGCCGUGUGUGUUAGGCGUGAAAGCCCGAGGCUCAACCUCGGAAUUGCACCUAAAACUACACGGCUAGAGUACUGGAGAGGGUAGCGGAAUUCACGGUGUAGCAGUGAAAUGCGUAGAUAUCGUGAGGAACACCAAUGGCGAAGGCAGCUACCUGGACAGUAACUGACGCUCAGGCACGAAAGCGUGGGGAGCAAAAGGG
RNAcentral lists this ribosomal RNA (256 nucleotides) under uncultured bacterium. Its description in RNAcentral is "partial 16S ribosomal RNA". It matches the Rfam family "Bacterial small subunit ribosomal RNA", at positions 521 to 776 of the family's 1533-position model. The record is from RNAcentral.